This 347-nucleotide ribosomal RNA is filed under the name uncultured bacterium. RNAcentral describes it as "partial 16S ribosomal RNA". It matches the Rfam family "Bacterial small subunit ribosomal RNA", at positions 338 to 682 of the family's 1533-position model. The record is from RNAcentral.
CCUACGGGUGACAGCAGUGAGGAAUAUUGGUCAAUGGACGCAAGUCUGAACCAGCCAUGCCGCGUGCAGGAAGACGGCUCUAAGAGUUGUAAACUGCUUUUGUAAGAGGGUAAACGCAGAUACGCGUACCUGUCUGAAAGUAUCGUAUGAAUAAGGAUCGGCUAACUCCGUGCCAGCAGCCGCGGUAAUACGGAGGAUUCAAGCGUUAUCCGGAUUGAUUGGGUUUAAAGGGUGCGUAGGCGGUCGGAUAAGUUAGAGGUGAAAUCCCGCGGCUCAACUUCGGAAUUGCCUCUGAUACUGUUCGGCUAGAGGUUAGUUGCGGUAGGCGGAAUGUCUGGUGUAGCGGU